GAUGAAGAACGUAGCGAAAUGCGAUACUUGGUGUGAAUUGCAGAAUCCCGUGAACCAUCGAGUCUUUGAACGCAAGUUGCGCCCGAAGCCAUUAGGCCGAGGCACGCCUGCCUGGGCGUCACACGUCGUUGCCCCCCCAUCUACUCCUUCGGGAUUGCGGGGGGCGGAUGAUGGCCUCCCGUGCGCCUCGCCGCGCGGUUGGCAUAAAUGCCAAGUCCUCGGCGACGCACGCCACGACAAUCGGUGGUUGCGAAACCUCGGUUGCCCGUCGUGUGCGGUCGUCGCGCAUCGAGGGCUCGAAAAAAUUGCCGGGUUCCGGCUCGGCUUUCAACGCGACCCCAGGUCAGGCGGGGUUACCCGCUGAAUUUAAGCAUAUCAAUAAGCGGAGGA
This 390-nucleotide unclassified non-coding RNA is filed under the name soil metagenome. Its description in RNAcentral is "partial contains 5.8S ribosomal RNA, internal transcribed spacer 2, and large subunit ribosomal RNA". The stretch from base 1 to 121 matches the Rfam family "5.8S ribosomal RNA", at positions 35 to 154 of the family's 154-position model. The record is from RNAcentral.